RNAcentral lists this ribosomal RNA (766 nucleotides) under Rhizoctonia solani. RNAcentral describes it as "eukaryotic LSU rRNA". The stretch from base 302 to 455 matches the Rfam family "5.8S ribosomal RNA". Lineage: Eukaryota; Fungi; Basidiomycota; Agaricomycetes; Cantharellales; Ceratobasidiaceae. The record is from RNAcentral.
GGAAGUAAAAGUCGUAACAAGGUUUCCGUAGGUGAACCUGCGGAAGGAUCAUUAUUGAAUUUAAACAAAGGGUGUUUAGGUUGUAGCUGGCUCCAUUAGUUUGGAGCAUGUGCACACCUUUUGCUCUUUUUUUUAAUCCACACACACCUGUGAACCUGUGAGGCAGAGACAUGGAUGGGAAAACUUUUGUUUACUUUUAGGGUAAAUGAUUGGGACCCCUACCCCCCCUCUGUCUACUCAACUCUAAUAUAAACCCAAUUUAUUUUAAAAUGAAUGUCAUGGAUGUAACGCAUCUAAUACUAAGUUUCAACAACGGAUCUCUUGGCUCUCGCAUCGAUGAAGAACGCAGCGAAAUGCGAUAAGUAAUGUGAAUUGCAGAAUUCAGUGAAUCAUCGAAUCUUUGAACGCACCUUGCGCUCCUUGGUAUUCCUUGGAGCAUGCCUGUUUGAGUAUCAUGAAAUCUUCAAAGUAAAUCUUUUUGUUAACUCAAUUUGGUUUCACUUUGGUAUUGGAGGUUCUUGCAGCUUCACACGCUGCUCCUCUUUGUUCAUUAGCUGGAUCUCAGUGUUAUGCUUGGUUCCACUCGGCGUGAUAAAUUAUCUAUCGCUGAGGACACCCCGGUAAAAAAGGGUGGCCAAGGAAAAUGCAGAUGAACCGCUUCUAAUAGUCCAUUCACUUGGACAAUAAAAUUAUUAUUAUUUUAUGAUCUGAUCUCAAAUCAGGUAGGNACUACCCGCUGAACUUAAGCAUAUCAAUAAGCGGAGGA